GACGAACGCUGGCGGCGUGCUUAACACAUGCAAGUCGAACGGAAAGGCCCUGCUGUUGUGGUGUGCUCGAGUGGCUAACGGGUGAGUAACAAGUGAGUAACCUGCCCUUGACUUUGGGAUAACUUCAGGAAACUAGGGCUAAUACCUGAUAGGAGCUCCUGCUGCAUGGUGGGGGUUGGAAAGUUUCGGCGGUUGGGGAUGGACUCGCGGCUUAUCAGCUUGUUGGUGGGGUAGUGGCUUACCAAGGCUUUGACGGGUAGCCGGCCUGAGAGGGUGACCGGCCACAUAGGGACUGAGAUACGGCCCAGACUCCUACGGGAGGCAGCAGUGGGGAAUAUUGCACAAUGGGCGGAAGCCUGAUGCAGCAACGCCGCGUGCGGGAUGACGGCCUUCGGGUUGUAAACCGCUUUCGCCUGUGACGAAGCGUGAGUGACGGUAAUGGGUAAAGAAGCACCGGCUAACUACGUG
This 468-nucleotide ribosomal RNA is filed under the name uncultured bacterium. Its description in RNAcentral is "partial 16S ribosomal RNA". It matches the Rfam family "Bacterial small subunit ribosomal RNA", at positions 28 to 507 of the family's 1533-position model. The record is from RNAcentral.